Molecule: small nuclear RNA, 104 nt
Organism: Monodon monoceros (narwhal)
Lineage: Eukaryota; Metazoa; Chordata; Mammalia; Artiodactyla; Monodontidae
Source: Ensembl
UUGCUCGCUUCAGCAGCACAUAUACUAAAAUUGGAGCAAUACAGAGAUUAGCAUGGCCACUGCGCGAGGAUGACACGCAAAUUCAUGAAGAGCUCCAUAUUUUA